UCGAUGGGAAACAGGUUAAUAUUCCUGUACUUGGUGUUACUGCGAAGGGGGGACGGAGAAGGCUAUGUUAGCCGGGCGACGGUUGUCCCGGUUUAAGCAUGUAGGCUGGUUAUCCAGGCAAAUCCGGAUAAUCAAGGCUGAGGUGUGAUGACGAGGCACUACGGUGCUGAAGUAACAAAUGCCCUGCUUCCAGGAAAAGCCUCUAAGCAUCAGGUAACAUCAAAUCGUACCCCAAACCGACACAGGUGGUCAGGUAGAGAAUACCAAGGCGCUUGAGAGAACUCGGGUGAAGGAACUAGGCAAAAUGGUGCCGUAACUUCGGGAGAAGGCACGCUGGUGUGUAGGUGAAGCCCCUGCGGGUGGAGCUGAGACCAGUCGAAGAUACCAGCUGGCUGCAACUGUUUAUUAAAAACACAGCACUGUGCAAACACGAAAGUGGACGUAUACGGUGUGACGCCUGCCCGGUGCCGG
Molecule: ribosomal RNA, 471 nt
Filed under: Klebsiella pneumoniae
Lineage: Bacteria; Pseudomonadati; Pseudomonadota; Gammaproteobacteria; Enterobacterales; Enterobacteriaceae
Description: partial 23S ribosomal RNA
Rfam family: Bacterial large subunit ribosomal RNA
Source: RNAcentral